RNAcentral lists this long non-coding RNA (1115 nucleotides) under Mus spicilegus (steppe mouse). RNAcentral's name for it is "lncRNA (ENSMSIG00000029755.1)". Lineage: Eukaryota; Metazoa; Chordata; Mammalia; Rodentia; Muridae. The record is from RNAcentral.
CAGACAUGGAGACUAAAUGUCUAACUGCUCAAAUAAAUUUAAUUAAAAUACCAUGACUUUUACAGAGAUGAAAAGAUAGAAAAGAUGGAACUAAGUCUACAAGCAGGAGAGCUGGCCUUGGUAAGGUCCAGAAACCAACUCAACACAAUGGGCAUAAAGAAAGAACACACAGGCACAAGUUUGGAGGAUGACGCUACAGAUCUGGAGGUCUUGUAUCUCUCCAUACUGGUAUGUCAAGAUGACAACCAAGAUGAGCCAUCAGAAGUAAUGACCAGGAACUAGUUUAUUCUGAAACCUACCCACUGCUCCAUCUUUCAAUACGGUGGGGAGUGAUGGUACUGGAGGAGGUGACAGUGACGUCAGAGCUGGGAGGAGCAGGGCAAGAGUGUUUAAUCCAGUUUUUCUAACUCCUGUAUUCCAGUGCUUGCCUCCAUUGUCCACGUUCUCCUGGGCUAGAAGCAGGCUUUGGCACAGUGUUGGAUAACUGGCCUACUGCAAUUUCUAAAUGGAGAAUGUUCCUUGGGCUCUUGGCAUUGGCAUCUUACACCUCCCACUUCAAAAAAACACACCGAAAACCUACUGAUUGAUGGGAGCUAUGCCCUGGUUUCUCUUUGGUAAUUCUCUUUAAAGGAAGGGCACUCUGAUACCUAUGGAGAUGUUUUCUGCGUUCUCUUGAUACAGCGUUUUUAAUGUUUAAAUAUUGAGACUUCUGGGACUAUUUUAUGCCUUUCUGGGACUAUUUCAGAUUUGGCUGGAAACUUGCCCUGGUCCUCACCCCUGCUUCCCCAUUCUCUGUUCUUGUUCAGUGGAGAAAGAAACAAAGGUUUGAGAUCAGGGACUAUGUACUCCUUAUUGUGUCCCUGAUCCUGAGCACUCCUCCCUAACACAGAAGACAAAUACGUUUUGAGGACUGGCAAAAUGGCUUGUGAAGAAAUGGUGCUUGCUGUCAAGCUUGGCAGCUCAAGCUCAAUCCUUGGGCCUCACGUGGCAGAGGGAGAGAAACAACUCUCAAAAGUUGAAAAGUUGCCCCCUGAGCGCCACACCCACACCAGAGCAUGCCCUCCCAAACACAUACCACAAAUAAACAAGUAAACAGAGUUAAUAUUUUAAAUAAA